AGGCCGAAGCUUUGCGCAAUCCUCCUGGAUAUCGUUCCUUUCCCUGAUCCCGGUGGACCCAUGAUAGCAGCUCGGAAUAACUUGGCCAUGCUCUCUUCCGGACGCGCUACAUGCCGUGUGCGUCUCUUACGGGCGGAGACUCUUUUUCUCCCCCUCUGCAAAUGAAUGAGGAGUCUCCACAACGCCCUGUUUUCUUUUCUUUUUUUCCUGCACACAUCAUCCAGAAAAAAUGCGGAUGACUGAGUCGCGCGAACUUUGCGGGGUAAACUGGUUACUGUAGUUUUUGUGUUUGUUUUUUGUUUCAAUGGAAGCACAACAACAACAACUGUAGUCAUAUAGUUUCCACAGAGAGAGAGAGAGGAAGAGGGGGAUUGGUUCUGAUGAGGUUUUAGAAGCAAAUGGAUGGUCAAAGUCAGCUUUAAUGUCACUUCUAACAUUUGUGCAAACGCAGAAGAUCUGAAAGAUCGUGUCUCUCUUGUCCAACAUAAAGUGAGUAAUAAUCAACAACAACAAAGAACAUUUAGACAAUAAAAAGCCAUCCUUCCAGAUGUUGUAUACAAACUGUUUAUCUCACAAAAAUGGGGAGGAGUAGGAUUUAGGAGAAGGCGUGUUUGAGGAUGUGUCAUAUAGGUCUAAGUCAAAAGUAAAAGAAAAGAUAAAGAAAAAGAUAUUUUAUAAUACAAAAUACACACAGAAACAUGAAGGUGCCAUGGAACCGAAAAUGGUUCUUCAGAGUGAUGCCGUAGAAGAACCAUUUCUGGUUCCAUAAAGAACCUUUCAAACCAGGGUUCUCUAAAGAACCAUUUCCUUAAAGAGUUCUUCAAAGAACCUAUAAAGGUGUCUCAAUCUAAAGAAUGGUUCUUCAGUGAUGGGUUCUUCGUAGGACCACAAAGCCUUUUAAAGAACCACUGAAGAGCCUUUAUUGUUCUGUCUACUAACAGUUCAAAUAAGUUAAUUGCAACAUUUCUGAAUCUUUUCUACAGAGUUUCCUGUUGGUAAAGUCUGAUCUACACAUGUUUAAUAAGAUAAUCACACCUAAUUCAAGUUAAAACUUGUUUCACAUUAUAAUGUGGACUAACAGCCAUGAGUCACUCGUGUAUUCCGAGCCAGAAAGGGGGCGUGUCCUUGUCAGCCAACUUAUUUCCCCUUAUAGCAUUACUAUAUUGAUAUUAGCAAUGGAAAUAUAUUAUAUAAAUGAUCUCAGUGGUUUCUUAAGGUAUUUAAAAUGUCUAGACUAAAAUCUGCGAUAAAUUAAUUAUAAGAUUACAUAAUGUCAUAGGACUUAUUAAGGUGUUUAGUCUUGGAUUCCACCACUUUUGUUGUUGUUGUUUUUGUCGAUGUCGUUCUCUCACGUCAGAGCUUUUUUUAAUUGUUCUUAUCUGUUUUGCACUUUAUUAUUAUUAUUAUUAUUAUUAUUAUUACUACUACAAUCACGCUUUUUUAAAUUGUUGUUAGCUGUUUUGCACUUUAUUAUUAUUAUUAUUAUUAUUAUUAUUACUACAAUCACGUUAUGUUGGAUAAGAGAGAAACGUACUUUCAGAUAUUCUCUCUGUUUGCAUAAUUAGAAAAAGUGACAAUAAAGAUGACUUUUGACUUUUAUUAAAUGUUAUGCUUCACGUGGUGGUUAUUUGUCAUGUUUUUGUCAUGUUUUGUUGUUGUUUUUGUACUGCUCGGCUGACUGGCGCAGCAAAAUUGUGCACGAGUCGCUGUCAUUCCGCGCAACGUUUGCGGACGGGCGGAAUCUGGAGACUUGUCUACUUGUUGCGAGGAGCCACACGGCAGCAGCAGCAGCAGCGACCCGGAGCUGCGGAGCUGUCAGUGCGCCUCCAGCCUCCACGGAGGACCCGGACUUAAUCCACCAGAGCAGCACCUCGCAGGAAUAACCUUCUUCUAGGAACCUUCGUAGAAAGUAUCUUUUCCUACAGCCUUUAUUUUGUUUUAUUCCACCAUCCCUUUUUUUCUAUUUUUUCUUCUUCUGUCACAUGGCUUUUUGGAGAAUUCAAUAACAACAAAAAAUGGCGACAUGCAGUCAACGUUGCUCCGUGUGUGUCUUGCUGCGUCAUUAAAAAAAAAUAUUCACGUGAACGCGCGGAGGAAAAAGAAAUAUGCAGCGUGGUGUUUGUUUGUUUUUUUGCCCAUGCAGAAAAAGGGGUGUGUGUGCAAAGCUGGGCGUUAACGUUUGGCUGCACAAUAUUCACAGAACAUUGCACUUAUAUCCCCCCUGGUCAAAGCAGGUAUGUAUAUUAUUAUUAUUAUAUAACGAUACGUUGUAUUGUGCAACUUUAUUUUCAUGUGUAGAAUACAGCAACAUGGGGUUUAUUGUAGUUGUCGAUGGCGUGAUUGUUAUUCUCUAGCUUAUGUAUGUUUCAAUGUGUGGUGCGUUCACGGUCAGUAGGUUUUUAAGGCAUAACCCAGUUGUUUAUUGAAAAGGUUUAUGUAAUAUGUGGACGCGCUUUCUUCACAGGGUGUCUUGUUCCGGUCAUUGAUGACAACGAGUGGAGCCUUCGGACGUGACUGUGUGCGCGCGCGUGUGUGUGUGCGCAUGUGUGUGCCAUGUUUAGAGUUAUUUGCGCAUGUGGCUUUGCUUUUUUUCCUUUGGCCCUGAGCUGCGGGGCUAAUGGAGUUGUUUUCAUGAAGUGCGGAGGAGGAGCAGGAGGAGCAGGAGGAGGAGGAGGAGGAGGAGGAGCUACCUAGAGACGCCACCGGACUCCUCGAGACUGCUCGCGAGGAGGAGGAGGAAGGGGGGUGGAGGGGGAGCCCGCGAGGAAAAUCAUAACAAGACUGACGUCACUCGGCCUUGUGGUUCAUAUGAAAAAUAAACAAUAGUCCUCGAAGGAAAGAAGGUUUAAAAUAAGAAAGGAAGAAGGUUGUUUUGCAAUAGCAGAAUGGAAAUAAUGAAAAACCAAAUACUUUCAUAUGGAAAGAGAUAUAAAUAACUAAACAUGAUAAAAUACAUGAAACUAUAUAGCGAGCUUCCUCCAAUUUUAAAAUAACUGCAGUGUUUUAAUAUAUGCUCACAGCGUGAGGAUGGUUUUCACUUUCGAGUUGUUUGCCCAAAAUAUUAAGGAAUUUAGUAAAGGUUUUAUACAUAUAUAUAUAUAAAACCUUU
This is a long non-coding RNA of Pseudoliparis swirei, 3109 nucleotides long. RefSeq lists it as uncharacterized. The transcript has 3 exons. The record is from RefSeq and is a predicted model, not a curated record. Lineage: Eukaryota; Metazoa; Chordata; Actinopteri; Perciformes; Liparidae.